RNAcentral lists this ribosomal RNA (442 nucleotides) under Salticus scenicus. Its description in RNAcentral is "partial large subunit ribosomal RNA". The record is from RNAcentral. Lineage: Eukaryota; Metazoa; Arthropoda; Arachnida; Araneae; Salticidae.
AAAAACAUUUCUAUUAAAAAUAAUUAAUAGUAUAAUCUGCUCAAUGAUUUAAUUCAAUAGCCGCAAUUCGUGCUAAGGUAGCAUAAUCAUUUGUCUUUUAAAUGAAGACUAGAACAAAAGAUUAAACAUUUCGAUAUAUUUACCUAAAAUAAAUUUCAAACUUAUCAUUGAUGUUAAAAGACAUCAAUUUUUAAGAAAGACGAUAAGACCCUAUUGAACUUAACUUCAGUUAAACUGGGGCAGUAAAUUAAUUAUUAUUUUAAUAAAAAUGUUUUUAUUAAAAUCCUUUAUAAUAGAUUAAUUCAGUUACCAUAGGGAUAACAGCGCAAUUAUUUUUUAGAGUUCUUAUCUUAAAAAUAGAUUACGACCUCGAUGUUGAAUUAAUAACCUAAUUUAAAGCAAGAUUUAAAAAAGGAAGUCUGUUCGACUUUUAAAAAAUUAC